RNAcentral lists this non-coding RNA (27 nucleotides) under Homo sapiens (human). Lineage: Eukaryota; Metazoa; Chordata; Mammalia; Primates; Hominidae. The record is from RNAcentral.
AGAUUUGAGGUCAGACUUAAAGAAUGU